Molecule: long non-coding RNA, 3500 nt
Organism: Formica exsecta
Lineage: Eukaryota; Metazoa; Arthropoda; Insecta; Hymenoptera; Formicidae
Exons: 2
Source: RefSeq, a predicted model, not a curated record
UAAUCAUAAUAUUAAUAUAAUAUUAAAAUAUGCAACCAAAGUUAGAUAGUAUACAUUUAUCGUAUUUAUUCUUAUUUGUUUCCUCGCGAUCUAAAAAGUCAUCUCUGAAGGCCACUUGUCGGCGCAACACAUCAUACAAAGGUUUCCAGAUCUUUUAAUAAUUUCUCGAGAGAACGCCGCCUCGUUCGUUUCGCAAGUAUUAGACUCUUAUAGCACCGUAGUCACUGAUUUAGUAUCAAGCAAGUCCGUGUACAUUUGUUUUCGAGCCUGUGUAAGAUAAGCGGUCCCCCGGCGCGACACUUCUCAGCCGUGAGAAGGAGAAGGUCCUCUCUCUCUCGUGUGCUGUAAGCUAGCUACUCGACGUGUUCGCCCAUGGGAUUAUCGCAUACGGAGAUUUACGGGACACGCCGGUAUCCCACAACAGGAUAACGCGGCUUGGUAAUAGCUGGACCCAGCGAUCCUAUUACGUCUCAAAGCCAAGGGACUACUGUCGCCGAUGGGACCGACGUGUCGGCCAAUUAGCUCGCAACGGCCGAAAUAUUCGCAUUACCACGGAAUCAUAAUCUAUCUAUUCGAUAUAUUCGAUGAGCACAAGAAAGAAUUGUUUAAAUUUAAGAUGUGAAAGUGUUUAUUGACGUUGCUCUAAAAUUAAAGAUGUUCUUCGAGCUUGAAAAAUCCAGGAAGAAAGAAACCUUUUGCAAGACGCAAAAGUAGCAAUUUGAGAAAAAUCUCGAGUUGAUUGCAAAUAGCAUAUUUGUUAUCCCGAUACUAAUGCAGAAUCACUAAUGUGCAAAGUUUCAUAUGUAAUAUAAAUUAAUAUAUCUGAGAUACUGUAAUUUUUAGAAAAAUAUGUAGAUCCUUCAAAAGAAUUGUCACUUUCAAGCAAUUUUGCAGAUUUUUUACAAUUUUAAUUACGUUUUAAUGCAUGUAUAACAGAUUCUACUGUCAUUAUAUUUAGUUUUUUCUUCUUGACGUUUCUUCUUUUUUAAUUUUUGACAAAGAGAAAGAAGUUAUACAACAGAUAAUUUUUAUUAUUUUUAAUAAAUUUGAUCUUCAGUGACUCUAUUAUGAUUUCCAAACUUUGAAGAAAUAAGAUUGAGAGUGAUGAGACACAAUUAUGAAUUAUCUCUUUUUUUACCAGAUUUACGAAAUAUGUAUUGAAAAUGAAAGUUGCCUAAAGUUUUGUCUCUAUUAUAGUUUUUAAUGAUAGAUCGAAACAUUUAUUUAGAGACGUCAUCCAGUGGCAUUCAGUUUAUUUAAAGUGAUAAGUAAAAUAUUAUUAUAUACUAUUUAAGUAAAAAGCUUGUUUCUUACAUGGACGAUUUGACAAUGAGAUUUAUGUCCAUCACUUGCCAUUCUCGUAUUAAUCUUCAAUUAUAUUCUCAUGUAAGCUUUCGUAAUUUUUUCCUUAUAUUUUUCAUCUACGUUAAUCGCUCAUAGUAAUUCUCAUUUCGACAACGAUGUUAUAAAAGAAAUGUUACGGAAAUUAACACCUGUCAUACGAAAGAGUGAAACAUAUGCGAGAGAUUUUUUCAAGAUACCGAUAAUUCCCGGUUUCCGCGAAGUUUAAAUCAAUUUUCUUACGCUACAGGCAUAUUAGAAGAAUCCGGUAUCGUCAAUAAAUAAUGAUCUCGACUAACUCCCGCAAUUAGCAAGUGAACAAGAUGUAGAAGAUAACGACUGGGAUAGCGCAAUUAAUUCUGGCUGACACGGAUGGUCGUUAGCAUCGUCUCGAGAAUAUAUGGAAUCUUCAUCUUCUUUAUAAUUCCGAAUACGUAAUCAUUGUUCUGUCACGACUUAAUUCAAUUCGAAAUAAUGUGAGCAAAGCGCGACUCCCUGCUUUCUCUCUCAAGUGAUACGUGACAGUUCCUUGUAGUCUAAGUAUAUAAAAGCGGACCUUUUACAUAAUUAACUUGCGCGAGAGCGAUAUUAUCCUUUUCAAUGCGUGAGUGCGUGCGUGCGUGCGCAAAAGCGUCGACGCGCGUUUCCUUUUCCGCGGACAGUUUCUCAUCUCGAAUCACCGUCACAGAGAUUUCCCGGAAACCGACGACGGGAUACCCGGCGGCACGAAAAACGCGGGAGCACUUGAGAACAAUGAUGUCGCGCUGCUAGGAAUUGUUCACGGUAAAAUCGCCGUGCGGACGGCUAUUUCUCUCUGGCAAACUUCUUGCUCCCAUGGGUAAGAGGAGACAGGAUUGCCUUUCUGCUACAGAGAAAUCUUGUAUUAAAAAUCUAGAGAUACAUUUACGUGUGACUGAGUAACAUCGUACGAUAUCGUUAUAUAUUUUAAUGAAACCCUGUCAUGUGAUACAAACUAUAUUUUGUGUAAAAAUUUAUAUCUCGAGAAAAUGUCUUAUAAUAUCGAUAUCAUUGUGAACGAUUCAAAUAGUAGAGCUUUAAAGAACAGAGAGAAAAAAGAGCUUUAUCCGUAUUCUUCUCGAGUCUAGAAGUCAGCGGAUUCAUACGAAAUAUAUUCAGUAUAUUUACGCAUGUUUCAACCUACAUAUGGGUUAACAAAGGACUCCUUGUGUAUGCGACCUUCGUCGUGAAGUGCCUGCUUUCCAUAAACACGACUUUUCGCCAUCGUGAUGUCAAAGAUCAGCAACAAAGAUACCAUAAAUCGCGUUCCUUUUUUUUUUAGCAUAAUCAGAAGUUAUCGCGCCGAUAAACGGAUUGAAAUUAGCUCAUUAGUGAUUUUGCACUGGUAUCGCGAUAACAAAUAUGCUAUUUGCAAUCAACUCGAGAUUUUUCUCAAAAGUCUACUUUCGUAUCUUGCAAAAAGUUUCUUUUUUCCUGGAUUUUUCAAGCUCGAAAAAAACAUCUUUAAUUUUAGAGGAAUGUCGAUAAACUUUCACACCUUAAGUUUAAACAAUCAUUUCUUUCUUUACAGAAUUGAAAUUAAGAAACAAAGAGUAACUUCAACCAUGACUAAAAUUACAAAGUACAAUAGUUAAUAAAAUAAUCGGUGCUGAUGAAACUAGUCGUAAAUCCCUGAUUGUAUAUGAUGUAUAAUUGAUUUCUCUCGAACUCUCUUAACUUAUGAAUGAAAACUAUACAGGAACGAGACUUUGUACUUAACAGCUAUUACUUAGCCGAUCCUAAAUUGGAUUUAUACGAAAGUCGAAAUCCUGUCGCAAGUUUCUACCUAUUCUGUCCGCGAGCGAGUCUAUCGUGCACACGUGGACGAGGAUAAAGCAAAUCCCCGAGGGGGUAUGUAUGUUGCGUGUGAAUAACCCCGCUAACCUUUCGCAGAAAUCAUAUCGAUUCAAUGUAUAGCUCUUUAUAUUUAGAGAAAUUCAGAGAUUUGCGACAGACGUUGCGUAUGGAAAGAAAUGAAAGAAAAAGAGAAUUAUUGAAUUAUAUAUAAUAACGUGCGCAUUGAUAAUGUUGUUUGCCGCGAAGAAAAUAGUUGACUAAUUUAUUGCUUUCAUGAAUGAUUAUCGCGGAAAUAAAUUAAGAGAACAUCAAACAAAAAGGUGAGCUUGCAAAAAAAAAAAAAA